This 572-nucleotide long non-coding RNA is filed under the name Mytilus galloprovincialis (Mediterranean mussel). Lineage: Eukaryota; Metazoa; Mollusca; Bivalvia; Mytilida; Mytilidae. The record is from RNAcentral.
GGUUGAAAUGUUUCAUACUGUUGUAAUACUAACAGACGUUUAUCAUGUCAAAACUAGCUAUUGUGCAUGUAUGACUUAACUGAUUUAUGCAAAACAAAUAUGUUGGUGCUCGCCUAGAAACCUUUAUAAAUCUAAUCUUCUGACAAUUAACCCCAUGAUGAAUUAGAAAUUUGAAACCAAACAGAUAGAGACCAUAUUCAGUGUUGGAAUUUUUUGUUUCUAAUAUUAAAAUCCUCUUUCUGUCCUCUUAAUAUGGAUAAUCUAAAUUGAGUUUCAAAAUGAUGCUUGCAAAAAUACAACCCAUUGUCCUUGUUUCAGUUAUCUAGGUGUUACGUAUUAACCACAUACAAUAUGUUACCCAUGAAUUAUAUAUUUUGUGCACAAUUGGUCCCUAUGUGUUUGUUAUCAAAUGAUUUUGGGGAUCUGUAUUGGUCCUACAACGGUUAUCUCAUUAAAAACAAAUUUCACUUUUGAAAAUUAGAUACAAUUUUCGAACUUCAAUGAAAGAAUUAUGUAAUUAAUUUUGCAUUCGAUUAGAAAUAUUAUUUACUCGUAAUAUGUCAAUAUUUGUU